Molecule: ribosomal RNA, 439 nt
Filed under: uncultured bacterium
Lineage: Bacteria
Description: bacterial SSU rRNA
Rfam family: Bacterial small subunit ribosomal RNA
Source: RNAcentral
GUACGGGAGGCAGCAGUGAGGAAUAUUGCACAAUGGGCGAAAGCCUGAUGCAGCAACGCCGCGUGAGCGAUGAAGGCCUUCGGGUCGUAAAGCUCUUUUGAGAGGGACGAGAUAGGACGGUACCUCUUGAAUAAGUCACGGCUAACUACGUGCCAGCAGCCGCGGUAAAACGUAGGUGGCAAGCGUUAUCCGGAUUCACUGGGCGUAAAGCGAGUGCAGGUGGCUUUGUAAGUUGGAUGUGAAAUUUCCCGGCUUAACCGGGAAGGGUCAUUCAAUACUGCAGGGCUUGAGGGCAAAAGAGGGGGGUGGAAUUGCCGGUGUAGUGGUGAAAUGCGUAGAUAUCGGCAGGAACACCUGUGGCGAAAGCGGCCCCCUGGUUUGCUCCUGACACUCAGACUCGAAAGCUAGGGUAGCGAACGGGAUUAGAUACCCCGGUAGU